Molecule: ribosomal RNA, 409 nt
Filed under: uncultured bacterium 404-45l
Lineage: Bacteria; Bacillati; Actinomycetota; Actinomycetes
Description: bacterial SSU rRNA
Rfam family: Bacterial small subunit ribosomal RNA
Source: RNAcentral
GGCUUCAAGCGUUGUCCGGAAUUAUUGGGCGUAAAGAGCUCGUAGGUGGUUUGUUACGUCGGUUGUGAAAUUCAGGGGCUCAACCCCUGACUUGCAGCCGAUACGGGCAAGCUAGAGUUUGGUAGGGGAGACUGGAAUUCCUGGUGUAGCGGUGGAAUGCGCAGAUAUACGGAGGAACACCAAUGGCGAAGGCAGGUCUCUGGGCCAAUACGUACACAUUGGAGCGAAAGCGUGGGGAGCAAACAGGAUUAGAUACCCUGGUAGUCCAUGCCGUAAACGGUGGGCACUAGUUGUGGGAACCUUCCACGGUUUCUGCUGACGCUUAACGCAUUAAGUGCCCCGCCUGGGGAGUACGAUCGCAAGAUUAAAACUCAAAGGAAUUGACGGGGCCCCGCACAAGCAGCGGAGC